CCAUUAGAUGUUCUGGGCCGCACGCGUGCUACACUGAGUGGAUCAGCGGGUCAGGUUGCGCGAAAGCGUUUCCUAAUCUUUAAAUCCGCUCGUGAUGGGGAUUGACGGUUGCAAUUUUCUGUCAUGAACGAGGAAUACCUUGUAAGCGCGGGUCAUCAUCCCGCGCUGAAUACGUCCCUGCCCUUUGUACACACCGCCCGUCGCUCCUACCGAUUGAGUGGUCCGGUGAGGCUUUGGGAUCUGAGCGGAAAGAGCGUUUCGCUGUUUCUGCUCGGAAAACUCAGUCGAACCUUAUCAUUUAGAGGAAGGAGAAGUCGUAACA
This 322-nucleotide ribosomal RNA is filed under the name uncultured eukaryote. Its description in RNAcentral is "partial 18S ribosomal RNA". It matches the Rfam family "Eukaryotic small subunit ribosomal RNA", at positions 1470 to 1796 of the family's 1831-position model. The record is from RNAcentral.